This 84-nucleotide transfer RNA is filed under the name Colletotrichum orchidophilum. It matches the Rfam family "tRNA". From Rfam's summary of the family: Transfer RNA (tRNA) molecules are approximately 80 nucleotides in length. The record is from Rfam by way of RNAcentral. Lineage: Eukaryota; Fungi; Ascomycota; Sordariomycetes; Glomerellales; Glomerellaceae.
GGUUGUAUAGUGUAGCGGUUAUCACUCCAGAUUUUGACUGUACCAAAACUUCUGGUAACCCCGGUUCGAACCCGGGUACGACCU